This 253-nucleotide ribosomal RNA is filed under the name uncultured bacterium. Its description in RNAcentral is "partial 16S ribosomal RNA". It matches the Rfam family "Bacterial small subunit ribosomal RNA", at positions 524 to 776 of the family's 1533-position model. The record is from RNAcentral.
UACGAAGGGGGCAAGCGUUGUUCGGAAUUACUGGGCGUAAAGCGUGCGCAGGCGGUUUUGUAAGUCUGUCGUGAAAUCCCCGGGCUCAACCUGGGAAUUGCGAUGGAGACUGCAAGGCUAGAAUCUGGCAGAGGGGGGUAGAAUUCCACGUGUAGCAGUGAAAUGCGUAGAGAUGUGGAGGAACACCGAUGGCGAAGGCAGCCCCCUGGGUCAAGAUUGACGCUCAUGCACGAAAGCGUGGGGAGCAAACAGG